UCGAGGAUCAUUCGCAAUGCGCGAAAGCGUGACGGUGCGACGCCGCGUGCAGGAUGAAGGCCUUCGGGUCGUAAACUGCUGUCAUGAGGGAACAAUGUCCGGAAUGUUAACACCAUCUCGGGGUGAUAGUACCUCAAGAGGAAGCCACGGCUAACUCUGUGCCAGCAGCCGCGGUAAUACAGAGGCGGCGAGCGUUGUUCGGAUUUACUGGGCGUAAAGGGUGCGUAGGCGGUUCUGUGUGUCGGAUGUGAAAGCUCACAGCUCAACUGUGGAAUUGCAUUCGAAACUACAGGGCUGGAGUACAGGAGAGGAGAGCGGAAUUCUCGGUGUAGCGGUGAAAUGCGUAGAUAUCGAGAGGAACACCGGCGGCGAAGGCGGCUCUCUGGACUGAUACUGACGCUGAGGCACGAAAGCUGGGGGAGCAAACA
RNAcentral lists this ribosomal RNA (428 nucleotides) under uncultured prokaryote. RNAcentral describes it as "bacterial SSU rRNA". It matches the Rfam family "Bacterial small subunit ribosomal RNA", at positions 355 to 774 of the family's 1533-position model. The record is from RNAcentral.